GUUUAUUUUGGAAUAGGUUUAGACUUUCGCUGUCCAGGUACGCUUGCUCUCUACUUUUAGUUUUGUACGUUCUAUAUUUUGACCUCAACGUUAAAGUAUUUAUAGAAUUUCUGGUCAAGGUUAUUUCAUCCGCUUUUGUUGGGGACUUUUUAAGAUGGAUUAAUAUGUUUUCUCGAUCAGGAUGUUUAGUAGCAGAUGGUAAAUACUUUAAUUUAAUAUUAUAGUAACAUGACAUAAGUAUUAUCAUCGACAUGACUAGAUUCUCUAGUACACAAUAAAAAAAAUUUGCCACUUUAUUAAAUACACAUACAGUAAUGUACUUUUUCUUUUUAUUUGUCUUUUUCUUUUUCAGGAUAAAACUUUCAUGAAGAACAGACCAUUUCUGAUCUUCAUUAUUGGAAUUGAUUAGACUAUCUGUCAGUCUGGAUAUUUUAAGUGGACAACCUUCAUCAGCUGUGUCACAUAACAACAAACAUUUUGAGACAUAUCUCGAAUAAUAUAUACAGUUAAAAAUAAAUGAAAUCAGUGCUAUACAUACUGUUUUGUGAAAAAUAUGAUUGACAAAAUGCA
Molecule: long non-coding RNA, 570 nt
Filed under: Mytilus galloprovincialis (Mediterranean mussel)
Lineage: Eukaryota; Metazoa; Mollusca; Bivalvia; Mytilida; Mytilidae
Source: RNAcentral